CAGAAUUGGUGGUAGAGUCUGAAGCUGGUGGAUCUUAAAAAACUCAAUGCUGAGUACAAAAGGCAGCACUCCCUGCUGACCUCCCCAGGUCUCCAGCAGCUCUCCAGCUGGCUUUGCUGGCACUGUUCCAAAAAGGACUGUGGAAGGAAGUGGCGAGGAUGGAUAAAAUAACUUCAGGAAAAGAAAACUUUGCUUGUGUGUUAGCCAAAAGCAGGAGCCCCAAAGGUGGUCUCUGUGGAUCAAUGCAUCACUGUCUGUGAGGCCCCCAGAAGUCACGGCCACCUGUAGGAGUCAGCCUGAUGUUCUUCCUCACCACCCUCUCCAGGACCACCGUGCACGGACGUGGUGGACCUGCCUCUCAUGGUCUCACCACGUCAUGGGAAGCCCAGCCUUCCUGGGGCAAUAGAUGAACCACAACUUUUAAUCUGAAGGAAUUAAAAUCCUUUGUGAAUCCAAUUACAAAAUAUUUGUCCAGAAAGGCAUUCAAGUUAGACGGUACCAGUGGUAGCAGCCCUUGGUAUGCCAAUCUGGCUUUGUAACACCAGACCCACGUAUCAGAGCCUGGGCCACUUGUGACAAUCUUCCUGACAUACCAGCUUCAGACAUUGACUGACCUGUGAACAACAAAGAUAACAUGGAAAUGAUGCAGUAUGUGACUUCUGAGUCUCUGUCUUGAAAGACACUGUGGCUUAUGCCUUGCUUUCUUGACUCACUUCCUCUGUGAGAAGCUGACCUCCAUGGCAUGAGAAGGAAAGAUCCGUGUGGUGAAGACCUGAGACCGACAGCCAACCACUGGCACCAGUUUGUCAGCUGUACAGUGAGCCUUCGGCUACAGGCUGGUCCUGUAGCCUUAGUCAAACCUUCAGAUGACUGUAAUCCAGAUCGACACCUAAACCAUAACCUCAUGAAAGACCCUGAGCAAAAGCCACCCACGAAGACACUCCCCAAAUCCUGCCUUAUAGAAAAUGAGAUUAAGCAAAAUCUAUUGUUUCAAGACACAGUGUUGAGAUAAUUUGUCAUUAGUAAUAUGUAACUAUACUAGUAAUAAAUAAUAAAGAGCUAAUAUAAAUAAUGCAUUACUUAUAACAGA
Molecule: long non-coding RNA, 1090 nt
Organism: Neofelis nebulosa (Clouded leopard)
Lineage: Eukaryota; Metazoa; Chordata; Mammalia; Carnivora; Felidae
Exons: 5
Source: RefSeq, a predicted model, not a curated record